UAGUCCACGCCGUAAACGAUGUCUACUAGCCGUUGGGGUACUUGAGACCUUAGUGGCGCAGCUAACGCACUAAGUAGACCGCCUGGGGAGUACGGCCGCAAGGUUAAAACUCAAAUGAAUUGACGGGGCCCGCACAAGCGGUGGAGCAUGUGGUUUAAUUCGAUGCAACGCGAAGAACCUUACCAGGUCUUGACAUCCUGAAAACUUUCUAGAGAUAGAUUGGUGCCUUCGGGAACUCUGUGACAGGUGCUGCAUGGCUGUCGUCAGCUCGUGUCGUGAGAUGUUGGGUUAAGUCCCGUAACGAGCGCAACCCUUGUCCUUAGUUGCCAGCACAUAAUGGUGGGAACUCUAAGGAGACUGCCGGUGACAAACCGGGAGGAAGGUGGGGACGACGUCAAGUCAUCAUGGGCCCUUACGACCUGGGGCUACACACGUGCUACAAUGGCUGGUACAAACGGGCUGCUAACUCGCGAGAGGGGAGCUAAUCCGAUAAAACC
Molecule: ribosomal RNA, 497 nt
Filed under: uncultured bacterium
Lineage: Bacteria
Description: bacterial SSU rRNA
Rfam family: Bacterial small subunit ribosomal RNA
Source: RNAcentral